ACUCAAAUGAAUUGACGGGGGCCCGCACAAGCGGAGGAGCAUGUGGUUUAAUUCGAUGAUACGCGAGGAACCUUACCUGGGCUCGAACGUGGAAUGACAGUCGCGGAAACGUGAUCUUCUUCGGACAUUCUACGAGGUGCUGCAUGGUUGUCGUCAGCUCGUGCCGUGAGGUGUCGGGUUAAGUCCCAUAACGAGCGCAACCCCUAUCUUUAGUUGCCAUCAGGUAAUGCUGGGGACUCUAAAGAAACUGCCUACGCAAGUAGUGAGGAAGGCGGGGAUGACGUCAAAUCAGCACGGCCCUUACGUCCAGGGCUACACACGUGCUACAAUGGCCGGUACAGAGGGCAGCUACCUGGUGACAGGAUGCAAAUCUCCAAAGCCGGUCUCAGUUCGGAUCGAAGUCUGAAACUCGACUUCGUGAAGUUGGAUUCGCUAGUAAUCGCGCAUCAGCCAUGGCGCGGUGAAUACGUUCCCGGGCCUUGCACACACCGCCCGU
Molecule: ribosomal RNA, 496 nt
Filed under: uncultured bacterium
Lineage: Bacteria
Description: partial 16S ribosomal RNA
Rfam family: Bacterial small subunit ribosomal RNA
Source: RNAcentral